Molecule: ribosomal RNA, 467 nt
Filed under: Porphyromonas cangingivalis
Lineage: Bacteria; Pseudomonadati; Bacteroidota; Bacteroidia; Bacteroidales; Porphyromonadaceae
Description: bacterial SSU rRNA
Rfam family: Bacterial small subunit ribosomal RNA
Source: RNAcentral
GAGUUUGAUUAUGGCUCAGGAUGAACGCUAGCGAUAGGCUUAACACAUGCAAGUCGAGGGGCAGCACGGGAUUAGCUUGCUAAUCUUGGUGGCGACCGGCGUAAGGGUGCGUAACGCGUAUGCAACUUGCCUGUCAGUGGGGAAUAACCCGGAGAAAUCCGGACUAAUACCGCAUACACUUUAGUUUCCGCAUGGGAACUUUAGGAAAGAUUUAUUGCUGACAGAUAGGCAUGCGUUCCAUUAGAUAGUUGGUGAGGUAACGGCUCACCAAGUCGACGAUGGAUAGGGGAGCUGAGAGGCUUAUCCCCCACACUGGAACUGAGACACGGUCCAGACUCCUACGGGAGGCAGCAGUGAGGAAUAUUGGUCAAUGGGCGAGAGCCUGAACCAGCCAAGUCGCGUGAAGGAAGACGGUCCUAUGGAUUGUAAACUUCUUUAGUAGGUGAGUACAAGCAGUUACGUGUAGC